UACGUAGGGAGCGAGCGUUAUCCGGAUUUAUUGGGCGUAAAGGGUGCGUAGGCGGCUUGUUAAGUAUGAAAUUAAAGCCCGGGGCUUAACUCCGGUUCGUUUCAUAAACUGGCUAGCUUGAGUAUGGAAGAGGUAAACGGAAUUUCUAGUGUAGCGGUGAAAUGCGUAGAUAUUAGAAGGAACACCAGUGGCGAAGGCGGUUUACUGGGCCAUUACUGACGCUGAGGCACGAAAGCGUGGGGAGC
Molecule: ribosomal RNA, 245 nt
Filed under: uncultured bacterium
Lineage: Bacteria
Description: partial 16S ribosomal RNA
Rfam family: Bacterial small subunit ribosomal RNA
Source: RNAcentral